Non-coding RNA from Thamnophis sirtalis, 406 nucleotides. The record is from RefSeq and is a predicted model, not a curated record. NCBI's taxonomy places the organism in Eukaryota, Metazoa, Chordata, Lepidosauria, Squamata, Natricidae.
UUAGACACAAUCCAGUCAAAAGUCUACAAUUAUCUCUGCGUUCCCAGGGCUUGAGCUGUCUGUAAAGGCCCUAUGGAAACAACUAAACAUCUUGUAGAAAUCAAAUAGGUCCAACAGACACCUGGGAUCAUAUAUCUGCAAUUCCAGGAUAAAACCCCGGUUUAAUGUAUGGCCGACUGAUGAGAUUAUGAGGAAACAGAACUGGGCCAUGUUGUUGUAUCAGCUGUGAAUUCCUGAACUGCCUCUGAACCACUAUUUCAAUAGCAAAUUGAAAUCAUCCAGGAGAAGAUGGCUGAAUGAAUCAAUCACACACCUGGCAAUGAGGUGCCACCAGUACAUGGAUUCUCUGUCCAAUUCUUCAGUGAGACAAUCACAGAAUGGCUGCAUACGAGCUGUGGUGGCACAG